RNAcentral lists this ribosomal RNA (467 nucleotides) under uncultured bacterium. RNAcentral describes it as "partial 16S ribosomal RNA". It matches the Rfam family "Bacterial small subunit ribosomal RNA", at positions 28 to 506 of the family's 1533-position model. The record is from RNAcentral.
GACGAACGCUGGCGGCGUGCUUAACACGUGCAAGUCGAACGGUGAAGCUCCAGCUUGCUGGAGUGGAUCAGUGGCGAACGGGUGAGUAACACGUGAGCAACCUGCCCCUGACUCUGGAAUAAGCGCUGGAAACGGCGUCUAAUACUGGAUACGAGAAGGGCCCGCAUGGGCACUUUCUGGAAAGUUUUUCGGUUGGGGAUGGGCUCGCGGCCUAUCAGCUUGUUGGUGAGGUAAUGGCUCACCAAGGCGACGACGGGUAGCCGGCCUGAGAGGGCGACCGGCCACACUGGGACUGAGACACGGCCCAGACUCCUACGGGAGGCAGCAGUGGGGAAUAUUGCACAAUGGGCGAAAGCCUGAUGCAGCGACGCCGCGUGAGGGAUGACGGCCUUCGGGUUGGAAACCUCUUUCAGCAGGGAAGAAGCGAAAGUGACGGUACCUGCAGAAGAAGCACCGGCUAACUACGU